Coccinella septempunctata (seven-spotted ladybird) is the source of this 450-nucleotide long non-coding RNA. RefSeq lists it as uncharacterized. The transcript has 2 exons. Lineage: Eukaryota; Metazoa; Arthropoda; Insecta; Coleoptera; Coccinellidae. The record is from RefSeq and is a predicted model, not a curated record.
CCUUAUGUGAUACUGUCACCUAAUCUUCUAAAUCUCACAUUUUCCGACUCUUACUUUUGUUAUCUUUAGCAAAUGUAUAUUUUCUACUGGGGAUGUGUCUAUAAGAAUAAUACUUAAAAUACAGGGAAUUAUGAAAAUUAUAUAGAUGAUGAAAAAACUGCAUACUAGAAUUGGGAAUGAAACAAAAAACCCAAAACAGUUGAUGAUAUUAGCAAAAAUCAGUUUUAUGCAGUUAGAAGGGAGCAUUUUAAAAGAGAUUCCCUGCUUUUCAAGAUUUCAUUCAGUUAAUUUUAUUUUGAAAAGAAACUUCUUCCUUCUCUACGAUGAAAAAAAAAAUGGGAUUAACUUGCCAAAAGUCUAUAAAUAGAGAAUUCUAAUGCAAAAACUCACCUGGAUAAUGUAUUCCAAUAAUCAUUAUAUUAUUUCCAUUGAAUAAAUUAAUCGAAAACA